This 801-nucleotide ribosomal RNA is filed under the name Triticum aestivum (bread wheat). Its description in RNAcentral is "partial small subunit ribosomal RNA". The record is from RNAcentral. Lineage: Eukaryota; Viridiplantae; Streptophyta; Magnoliopsida; Poales; Poaceae.
AUGGCGACGGUGGCCCGCACCGCCCUCAGGAGGAUCGGCGGCCGCUCCUUCCGCCCGUCGCUGGCCGCGGCGGCGCACCAGCACCAGCAGCCGCACCCCACCCCACCUCGCUCCAUGGUCGCCGUUCCACAUCGCAGCUGGUCCUCCACCCCCUUGCCUGCCAUCGUCCCUCCCACUCCAGACAUCAACAGGAAGUUUCAUCUGGACGUGAGUGGCAAGCUGCUUCCCGAGAUCGGGUUUACCACGGACCAUGCCUACAGGAUCUCCAUCUGCGAUGACAAUGCUGACUCCGCAUCAAACAUAGUGAGGGACUUCCUGAAGGCACUUCAGUCAAACAGACCAGAGGAUCUCGAGGCGUAUCUGAGGCACCAGGUCUCUAUUGUGGAGGUAAAGAAGGUGGUCAGCGGAGCUGCUAUCGAAAUCACGCUCCAGGGAAUAGAGCGAACCGCCGAAAUCCGUUUUGAGAUUGAAGCGCUCAAGCAGAUGGUGGUGGAUGAGGCCACCUCCACCAGGGCUGGGGUGGAGUCCUUGAAGACAGUGGUGGCGGACACGAAGAAGGAGCUGCAGGAGCUGAAGACCUCCACCAGUGCCCAAGUGGGGUGCUUGAAGACUGCCGUGGCGGGCACGCAGAAGGAGGUCCAGGAGCUGCAGACGGAUAUGUCAGAUAAGGACUUUGCCACGGUGGUCUUUCGCAACACUGUCGCUAAUGUGGCGUGCGCAUUUCUGGUUUUCUUGUCUGGGAAGGUGACGUUCACUGUUACUGAAGCAGCGGUGGACUUUGUGAACCACGUAGGGAUAUGA